This 1240-nucleotide long non-coding RNA is filed under the name Marmota monax (woodchuck). The record is from RNAcentral. Lineage: Eukaryota; Metazoa; Chordata; Mammalia; Rodentia; Sciuridae.
GUGUUCUUCCCAGAAAUGGUGUGUGUUUUCACUUAACAUGACCAAUAGUACCUACUCAUCGUCAGCCUUUAUGAUAUAUAGGCCUUCUUUGUUACCAUUAUUGAAAACUUAUGUAUGGCCUUAUUGAUGUUCCAUAUAAUUAGUAGGAUCACUUUGAGAUUUUGUGUAUGAAAAUCUGUGUGGAGAAUUAUUUUCUUCAAGAUAUUUGGCUGUUUAUUACCUUGGACAUGCUGUUGGAUUUUCUUCAUCAUUGUAUAUGAUCUACUGGAUUCCUUUUCUACUUAGUUAUUAUGUGUCUCCACUCUUGGUAAUCAGUCGUCUUCUUGUACUAUAUAUUUCUGGUUUCUUUAUCUUGACUGUAAACUUUCCAUAUUCAUAACUAGAAACAAACACAUUCUUCCACUUUUAAAGAAAAGCUAUAUUUUUCAUAGAAUGAACCAAAUAUACAUACCUGUGAAUAUUCCCUUAAAUUCCCUUUAAUCAUCCUCAUUUUGUAUUAUGACCUCCUUUCUUCCUGUGAGUAUCAGUACAAAUCUGUGACUCUUUGUAGGCUUAACUUCUUACUUUAAUUUCCCUCUCCUUUUGUAGAUUUUCAGAAUAUUUCAAUUUAGCCAGAGAACGUGCUUGAAGCUUAUUACGUCUUUGUUUUCUGUUAAUUUAUAAAACAUUGCUUUUAACAUUUCUAGCAACAUCCUUGCUUUGUUACAUAGGAUGUUUUGAACCAUCCUCAUUUUUUUUUCUCUGACAUGUUACAUAGGACCUGUGCCCAUCAAGGAGUCCUGGUUCCUUUCAAUGGAGAACAGAAAUACACCUCAAAGUCUGUCAUGAGGGGUGCACAAAAGAAUUUGUAGUGGACAAGUAUCCCUGCAAUUUUAAUAGUGACAGAAUGAGAGAACAUGAAAUUGCCCUGGCUUUUCCCAUUUUAAACCUUUGUUUUUAUGUAUUAUUUUUCUUAGGAGGUAUCAUUGAACCAGAAGAUUUUUCUUUACAUUUACGAAGAUUAGCCAAGAUGUUCUCUUUGAAAAUAAGAAUUAGGAAAAGGGGACCUGCUUGCCCAGAUACCCAAAUGCACUUUCCAAGCAAUAGUGACUUAACUGGCCCUAUACUGACCCAGAGUAGGCAAGUUGGUCAAUGGAGCAGAGUUUAUAGUCCCCCCCCAAAAAACAUUGAUUUGCCCAUUGAAAUUACUAUGAUUGAGGUAAAAUUUUACUACAAAUUAGGAAAGAAUAAAUUUAAUGAA